CCCCCAAAAAAAAAAAAAGAGUUAGGAAAGAUGGUAUUCUGAGCCCUAUGCGUCUCUCUCGUCUUUCCAUUAAUCUCAAUUUAAAAAAAAUACACAUCAGUUGGGUAGUUAUGCUUCUGCUUGAGGUUAUUAUUUAUGACAUUUUGUUCAUUAACUUCUACGCGCACAAUAUGUAUAUACUGUAUGAACUGUUGUGCUUCCAAUGUUAAGGGUGUAAUGAAGUCCUUAUACAUUAAAUGAUGUUGGGAUUAGUUUGCAUUAUUUAUUCCUUUUUGUAUAUGAGUUUAUUAGCAAAUUAUUGUGAUGGUAAUACGGAUGAUGAAUAUGCAAUUGUGCAAAGUGCGUCCGUUGCUGUAACUGACUCCUGCUUCGUAAAAAUUGUCAACGGCCGACUUGGUAUUCUUCGUUCUGCUGGGAUUCCUAAUGAAGUUUGAGACCUGGUGCCAUUGUUCUGUGCAUGAAGCAGUUUCACAUGGCCAAAGGUCUUGGGGCCACAUUUCUGAUGUCACAUAUGUUGGGCUUAUCAGUCUGGCAGUUUCAUACUUAUCUUUGCUCGUGAAGUUAACAGGUGAAAUAGUGGGUUGAUCUGAAUUCUUCUUUCGGAUAGGAAUGUUUAUGCUCAUAAAUGCAUGAUAAGCCAAGAACUCUUAUGUUCAUGUUUUCAAGAUUUUGAGGCAAUGCAUAUGCUUUUUGUUGAUUAGUUUUACAGGUCAUGAAAAAUUUCAGUUCUUAUAUCCUUAUUUGUGCAGCUCUGGAUUGUGGAAGCUUGAUUGUUCUUAUUUUCAAUUCAUUGGAAAAUAUUGGUUCAGAUAUAUUCGUCCCAUUAGUAUGCCCUUAUUGGAUUUACAUGCUCAGUAUUUGCUUUGAAAAUGUAACCCCAGGUAGGUAGCUUAAGUUGGGACAAUUUGUGCUGAAGUAAGCGUCUGAUUUUCAUAUUCCAUGGUGACACAUCUGUGGUGGCUAUAUUUGUAAUAUUCUCAAAGUAGUAUUUAAAUUUGUUUGGCAUUUUUUUUUUUGGGUUCAAGUUGUUUUCGACCAGCAGGACCUAGAACAAUUUUGAUUUUCAAUUUUAGCCUGCCAGUUUAUAAUAUUAGUCUUUCUUGUUGGAAACAUCUAGUUAGGUUAUUUUUUGAGUUUUGGGAAAUUUAGUUUUUUCCCUAGUAUGAUUAAUGUUGCAGCAAUCUGGGGUAUGGUACCUGUUAAUUGACUUCACCAGUUUGGAUCAGAAUCAGCUCGAAAUCAGGCAGAACCUUUGAAUUUUGCUUCUGGAUUAAGCAAAGAUUUUCCUUAGAUCUGAUCUAACUUUUUUGUGGUUAUGGAUUUUCCUUAGAUCUGAUCUAACUUUUUUGUAGUUAUGAGAUUCAAUUAACAUUGGAAUCUUUCUACAGGAUUCUAGAUUUGUAGAUUUUCUGCUGGUUUAUUGACUAAAAGAAACUACUUCAAAAAAUUGGAGUUUGAGCAUGAAUUAAUGGUCUUCGUUGAGAUUCUUUGUAAUUAAGGUUUUGAACCUAAAUGGUUUUUGGAUAUAUAUUCAUUGUAAAUGACAUUGCUUAUGAGACUAGGUUGGUCAGACUUGAAUAUCAUUUUUCAAGUGUCGUUCUGCCAGAAAGCAAACCAUUUUUUUGUGUAUAAUGAAAUUCAGAUUUUUAUUUUCUUAAAAUCUGGUGCAGCUUGUGUUUCCUAAAAACAUGUAUAUCAGUUUUUUGUUCAACUUCGUGAUUUGAGAAGUAGAGAAAGUGAUUUAAAAUCGAAAUUGUGAGCUUUGCAUAACCAGGUUGGAAUCACUCCAUCUAGAUAGUGAGAAGGGUUUGGUUGGGAUAGGUCGAGUGAAGUAUUUGGUAUUUCACAAUUUUUGUCUUUUCCACUUGUUUCUAGAAAUAGAAAAACAAGUUAAGACUUUUUCUCCGUUUCUGUAUGUAGACACAGAUUUAUAUUUUUGUUUCAAAAAACUAGUGAAAUGAAAUAGAAAAAUCAAAAAGUUUUGGGGGUGUUUUUAUGUGGAAAAACAAUUUCUGAAAACAAAAUCAAACAUGCCCUAAAUCUAAUGUCUUUUAGUUAUCAUUAUGAAAUUUUUUUUUUUAUGGUUCGAAAUUUUAUUUUUCCCUACAGAGCAAAAAUGAUUUUCCAUUCUCCUUUUUAACAUAUAUGCUGUGUAAUGUUCGAAAUAUAUGCAAGGUGUGGCUUGGUCUAAGGGGUAAGGUAUGAAUGUUGGUGCUUGGUGGUCAUGUGGUUUUAUGGUAAAAAUGUGGUAGUUUUUUUCUUAUGGGGGUCUAGCAUAUGCAAAAUUCUUGUGCUUCAGGCAUUAACAUUUUUAGUAUUCAAAAUGUAUGUAUAUAGAGUUGAGUAUCAUGGUGUAGUGGAGUUGGCAAGGGAACUAUGCCUUGGGAAGCUUGUGGUGUUGGGUUUGAUUAUACCUACCUUCUUGGGGCAAAACUGGCGUGGGGUAUUCUCCUUGGGACUUGGUGGUCAAGUUUUGUGGUAAAAGUUGAACGGUUCUCAAGCCCGUGUGAUAUGAUUCAUGCAAGUAAUCUGUGUGGGAUGAGUCAGGUUGAAGGUUAUCUUAUUAUUAGGAUUAAAAAAAAAAAAAAAAAAAAAAAGCUAUUCAGCUCUCAUAAAGACGCUAAAAGUGAUCUGGAGUAUUGUAGUACACGGUGUUCAAAAUUCCCUUGGGAAUUUAAUGAGGAAGAGUUGCUUGCUUUAAGUUUAAUUAAUUUUUGCAUUAAAUUUUUUUUUUUUUUACAAUUUUGAUAGGCUAAAUAAAAAUAGCAAUUGAAAGCUAAGGUAAUGGAUCUUUGGUAUGUCAUCUAUCAUCCCUUUGGGUUUGGAUGGCCACUUUUAUGAGAUCCUUGUAUUUUGGAUAUUUCAUCCGGAAAAGGGUUUGGGUUUUUUUUUUUUUUAAUAGAAAUUAUUGAAGGGUCUCUGUGUUGAUUAUAGUCUGUUUUUUAUUUGAUUCCAGGUAGUCUGCCAAUUCUAUUAGCUUAUUGGCAAACCAAUUUGUUCGUCAUAAUAUUGAUGGUUAAUUUAUUUUGCACAUAUGUUUGAUUUUUUUUUUUUCAUUUUGUUGUGCAUAUAAUCACACUCUUGAUUCUACCAAAAUAAUAACUCUUGAAAUGGCUCGAUUAUGCUAUUGAACUGUGGCUCCUUUAUUGGGAAUCUAGCUGCUGCAGUGGAGAUAUUUGCAACUUCUAUUCUCAUUUUUUUUCCCAAGGUGCUCUUUCAAAACUUAUGGUUUUAGUGAUCUGUCAUACCAAGUCGAUUGUGAUAGGCGGGUAUGUUAUGUGGGCUAGAUUAUGUGAGCAAGUCUUCCUAUGGUGAUUCCAUUUUCGGUUGUUUUGUUGAAGAAAGUAGUAGUCUCAAUUUGAGGUCAAUAUCUGUUGAUUGAGGCAAGUAAAGUCUUCUGAGCUCUGCUGGUAUGUUGUAUUUAUUGAACUUCUUGUAAGCUGGUAUGCUCUUGUAUGACCUGUUCAACUCACUAAACGGUAGAUGAUUUUUUAAAGCUUGUUCUGAAUGCUCAGGGUGAAAAGGCAUCUCUAUAUUGGAAGGAUGUUCUUCUUUUGGCCGUGUCUGGUUUGGUGUCCACAAUCUGGUGUAUAUGCCUUUAUGGUUCAUUAGGUUCAAAAUGCUGUGUUUAUGUAAUAGUAGAUGUUUCAUGAGAUGUUCACCAAAAUGCAUGAGAGAUAUAUAUGAAUAGCAAAUAAAAAUUUUGCUCAACUUGGCUCUUAACAAUGUUCUCAUUGGUGGCCGGCUGAGAAUACAUUUUGCAUUUUGAGAAUAAGAAUAUACAUUCUUAGAAUGGAUGAAGAUUCUAAACUGAGAAAUAUUGGAAUCAAAAGAAGUGUAUCGUUAACGCAGGUUGAAGUGAUUCUAUAGCCAAGUACAAUUAUAUCGGCAUUAGUGUAUUAAAAGUAGCCAAAUAAAACAACGACAAUUGUAGUUGGCUUCGGGAGGCUGAGGUGGUUCCUUGAUUUUUCAUGAUCUGGAGAAGGAAAGAUGUUUAUACGGGCAAAUGUAGAAUAUGAAGGAGAUGGAUUUGUUAUUUGUACACAUGGUUGUAUGGGUAAGAAUUCAACAAUUAUCCGAUGGCUAUAUCUGAUGGUAAAAGUACAGGUGUUGGAUGAUGAUCAUAUGUGCAUCUAAUGUUGAGUCUUCGGUUUCUAGGCCAAGAAAUUCGAACUUGACAUCUCGUGCACGACGUUUUUUGCACACCACAGCUCCUGUUACAUGCUAGACGUCUAUUAACAAAUUGGAAUUCAAUCCCAAUACGAGCCAUGAGUAAGGGAUGUAUUCGGAUAAGAGGUUUCUAGAUCAAGGAAUAGCGGUAUGCACGAGGCAUAAGGCAGAGGUUUCUAGAAAAGGUCAAGGGUCGAAGGUAAGAAGUUAGGUAUGGCACGGCAUCACGGGGAUCCUUCGGUGUAUGGCGUGUUUCAUAUGGGCGGCGGAAUUGCCGUUCGCGUGAGUACUACGCAUAGAAAAAUUUGUGUGAGGAAGGUCUUGCAUAAGGGCUAGAGGUUGAGAAAAGAAUCGGUGGAUGGAGCUGUCAAUCAUAGUUAUCAUGACACGUGUUGUUAAUCCAUCGGUUGUUCAAAAGUAGUUUCUUAUCAUCGAUACAAGGCAACGUCUUCUCCACGUAGGUCCAUCCUAAACCGUCGAUCUGAAACCACUUCUCCGUUAGUAUCCGUUCAUUCGUCUUAGGGUUUCUAUAAAUUAGGGUUCAGUGUCAUUGCAUUUUGUGCUUCGUUUUGUGUUCUUGUUUCUCGCCUUCUUCGUUCCUACCUACGUUCUGUUCAGACUUUAUUAGAUCUAUUUCUUUUCAGUUUCCUUCGUCAAUUUAUAUCUUUUAAUUUAUGAUCCUGCGUAGCAAUCGUUUACGGUAUUUGGAAAUCCGAUUUGUUGAUCCUAUGAUCGGUGGAGGUUAAGCGGAUCAAGGUCGAUCUAUGUGGAUCUGCAGAGCUUUUUUCUGGUGAUGUUUUAAGCCUUUAUUUAAUUUGGUUUUAGGAUUUUUUUUUUCUUUUCCUUUUUGAGCUUUGUUUUUGCAGGAUCUACCGUUUGGCGAGAGGAUUUAUUUUUCUGGAGCGUUUUCUGGACUUCGAAGGUCGUAGUAGAUGUGAUGGUGUUCGUGGUUCCUGUGAAUCUUUCGACUCUGGAUGAGUGGAUGCAGAUCCUUGAAGCCGGUUCCAGGUUUUGUGAAUCUUAUGUUGAUCGGUUGUGAAACAUUGUAAUUCACGGCGGAGCGAUAUGUUUAGUCGUUUACAAGAAUGGGGAGAGGUGAGGGACUAAGGGGGGUGGUGAGGUUGUUCAAAGAUGUAAAAGAGAUCGGGACAAGGCCCUGAGUGGUGCUAGGGCAUGUGUCGAAUCCUCUUUGUCAUCAGACCUUUGCCAUGUCGGGUGCGCUUGCAUGGCAGGUCAACAAAAGAUAAUAAAAUGCCUCUUUUGUGUUUUUUGGGGAGAUCGCACGGGGUUCUAGCCCGGGAUCUCUCCUCCGGUGUGUCGGCUCUCUUCUCUUUUUUACUUUUCCCGUUGCAUCCUGUCGCAUCUAGGCUCACCGACUAUUAACUCGGUGAUCAAACAGAAGCGCACAAUCGUCGUUAGUGAUCUCAAAGAGGAGCCGGCUGAUGAGUCCUAAUACGUAAGGAUCGUCCCCUCAACAUGGAGGUUGGAACUGAAAUUUUUAGAUCUCACAUCUGCAAUUAACUACUAAAAAAGAAAAAUCAUAUAUAAUGUAAUUUUAUUAUUGCAAUUCCUCGAUAUCAACAUGUGGCGCUAAUUACUGUAGCUUUCCUGAUCUAUUUGCAUAUUAGUUUUAUGGAAAAUUCUUGCUUUUGGUCAUUUAGUUAAUGAUUAUUUCAUUCUUGUAAACAUGAUCUUUUACCAUGCGAGUUGUAAAGGGAGUUGUUGCAUGCAAUGGAAGAAAAUUGUGAAGUUUGUUAUUGUAAUCACCUCCUCUGGCUGGAGGGAUGUAGGUGUCCCUAAGUUGUACAGAUUUGACAAUAUUUCAAUGACCUUCGUGAUGGUUGAGGGAAGAGUUCUAAACUCAAGGGACAUAUUACUGAUCUGUUGCUAUUUGGCUGUUUCUUAGUGGAGUUACAAUUGUCCGUGGCCAAGACGAUUUCCUUUCUAUUAGGUUGUUGCAGAACUUGGCUCCUCUAGAGGUUUUCGGCUUCGGAAUCAGAUACUGAUGAUGCUGGUAGAUUGAUGAUGGCUACUACGUGUGCUGACAUGGCUGAUUGGUUGAGAUUAUACAAGGUGAAUUUGAAAGGGAGGCUCUCUUUUAUAAUGAUGCAAGCUGCUGUUAGUCUUUUUAGUUUCUCUUAUUCUUGUGCUGCUCUUCAAAGAAAGUUUGAAAUUUUAGUAUGUUAAUUUCGGUCACAAAUUUGUCUUGGUAGUCUACUUUUUGUCUUGGUAGUCUACUUUAUGGGCAAUGGAAAUAUUUAGAUUUCAUCCCUUGUUAUGCUGUAGGGUAUUUCUGUUUUAUUACUGCAAUUGUUCUUUCAUUUUAAGAUUCUGGCUCCCAUUUGUUUCUGUAAUAACUUUACCUUGUUUUAUUAUGAUUUGUAAGGGUAACUGUUAUUUGAUGUAGCUAUGUACAUUCGAUCAUUCAUAAUAGAUGCUUUAGUUGAAGGUUGCACACCAACGGAUGGAGUUUGUAUCUAAGUUAUGGAUAGGAAAACUUUAGAGAUUCGUGAUUUCUCUGACAGCUUCAACCGGAAUUUAUUUUUUAUUUUUAUAUUUGGGUUGGUUGAAAUCUUAAUUGUAAACACUCUUCUAUUGAGGUAUAUUUUAUAUAUUUUUUUAGGGGUGGAAUGUAUGUGGGCUAUACUAACUAUUAUACGAGACUAGAAAACCAAGAUCGGUUGUUUCCCAUCACGAAAACACUUGUUGAAGAUAAUAAGACGUUACCCCCAAAGCUCCAAAGAGCCACACAUUUACAAAAAAAUUUAGGGCAACUUGAAAGGGAUAUAAGAUACGGAACCCAUGAAUAAAUCAAUCUUAACUCAUGAACAAAUCAAUCUUAACUAUGUGGCUGAUAGUAUUGCUUCAAUAUUUCAAGUAAGUACUGUGUUAUUUCUUAUGCUUCUCUCCUAGGAAAUGUUGUCGUUGAAAAUGGGUCUGUUACUGUUUCAAAAGUUUUUACCUUCGGCAUCCGUUUUGUUGCUUUUGAGUUGGAUUUCUAGUUGCCCAUCAGGAAAAUGAAUUUAAGCUUUUACUCUUGUUAUAUUUAUUUGUAUUUUUUUUAUUUAAAGCUUCAGUUCAAUUCCGGAUCUUGCAGUAGUCCCUGCUUUCCUAAUAUUUCAUCCCAUUUACAUAAAUUGGAUUAUAAACAUCUUGUUAUGGGUUAGUUACAAUGUAAUUUAAUGGUACCUAGGCUAAUUGUUCUUGGAAUUAUUUACUGUGUCCGUUAAUUCUAUCGUAAGCGAUGCCUGGUAGAAGUUUGCACGCGACCACCUGGAAAUUCAAAUCUGCAUGCGUAGAUAUCCUUUUAGGACUUUGAAUGGUGUAUCAAACUUUAGUUAAAAUGAUUUAUAUGCUAUGUUUCAUUUGCAAUUGGCAGAGUACCACGGCCUAAACCCUAGGCUCAUCGGUCAUCUUCCCUAUUUGGGUUUAACUCUAUCUGAUUAUUGAUCCUUGUAACUGCGCCCAUUUCGUAGAGACUACUUCCAACUAAAGAUAGUAGUCAUAGACCUAUGAAUUAGUAUUUGUAUACAUAACUGGAUUUCUAGAUGUUUCAAACCGUGCUUUGGUUGUUGCGAAAGGCAUGUUUGUGUGAACUAAACAAUUUGGCCCACGUAGAUUACUUGACGGUUUUUGGUAAUGAAUGAAUCAUUGCCCAGUUUUCAUUUCUUUUAAUUGUCAAUGUGAAAAUUUUCCCCCUAUUGUACGUAUUAUGAUGAUGAUAUUUUUUGUAAAUCUUUUUGGUGUCAUGGAUUUCUCCCUUUUAGUAAAAUAUGGAAGAAAUCAAUGUAACUGUUGUAUUUGUUUUCUUUCAAUGUACAAAAAAAACAAUUGAAAACUGUUUGUUUGGAAAACCAUAGAACCCUGUGAAGGCAAUGACUACUGAUCUUAUCUGGAGCUGAUCCUUAAGCUCAAAACUGGCAAGAGCACUCAUACCUAGUACAUUAGUACGGGUGAGAGAGGAUGGUGGUUCGAAUCCACCAGGAUCAUCCUACAAUGAUGAAUGUUUAUUUAGUUCUGCUAGUAGGAAUGUAACAUGCAUGUUUUAUACUUGUUGUAAAUAUUUCAAGUUGAAGGAAAUUCUUUUUGGUUUUCUGUUUUGUGGAAGGGAUGAUGGGAUGAAAUAAUCGGUUUGAUUAUAUUAUAUUAUUACCUAUGGGCGAUAGGGUUAUCAGAGAAGCAGCUUGGAAGGAAGGGGACACAAACUAGCAAAAAGGUAGAAGGAAUUUUUGCAGACCUGUUAGCUAAGAAUGCUAGAAGGGGAAAUUGUUGUAUAGAAAAUUUUUGUAUAUGCCUGGUACUCUUACUGAUGUUAUUUAUGUACUACGGUAAUGAAAUCCCCAGUGCCAGGGCACUAGUUUCAAUUCACAUGGGAAUCUUUGUUGUUUCCUGAUUUGAUCUGUCUUGGCAACUUGAAGAGACGAGAGGAAGGACGGAGCAGAAGAAGAAGAAGAAAAGAGAGAAAUGGUACGCGUUUGGCCAGAUUCAAAUUGCCCUGCUCCGAUUCUCAUCUGAAUAAAUGGUAUAGAUGAUGUUUAAGAGUCGAGUUUUAUAGGGGGUUUGAGUCUAGAAAUUGAAUUCUUCAAGAGAGUGAGUUUUUUAAGAGUCGGCAUAAGUUCAACUGAGAGAAGUGAAGAUCCAACUGAAUCCAAGAGGUAGAAUGUGGGUGCAAGGACUAGGGGAGGAGCCAAUGAAGAGUGAAUGGGAAAAGAAAUGUGUAGGAGGGGUGUGAAGGGGAAUUAUGUUUGGGUAUCAAUUCACAAUAGUGGCAUGGUGGCACUCUUUUUUCUUGAUUCUCAAUAAAAGAUGGAUCACACUAUGUUCAUAAUCA
Long non-coding RNA from Macadamia integrifolia, 9001 nucleotides. RefSeq lists it as uncharacterized. The record is from RefSeq and is a predicted model, not a curated record. The transcript is spliced from 2 exons. Lineage: Eukaryota; Viridiplantae; Streptophyta; Magnoliopsida; Proteales; Proteaceae.